Molecule: ribosomal RNA, 2985 nt
Filed under: groundwater metagenome
Description: bacterial LSU rRNA
Rfam family: Archaeal large subunit ribosomal RNA
Source: RNAcentral
AGUAAACCGUUUAGUGGAUAACUAGGCUCAAGCACUGAAGAAGGGCGUGGCAAGCUGCGAAAAGCCUUGGCGAGACGCAUGCAGUCUUUGAACCAAGGGUUCCUGAAUCAAUCCGUUUUGGAUUGGGAACGCGGGGAAUUAAAGCAUUUCAGUACCCGCAGGAAAAGAAAACAAUAGUGAUUCUGUUAUUAGGGGCGACCGAAAGCAGAACAGAGCAAACCGAAUCCCUUAUUGCAAGAUUGGGGAGAUGUGGGGUUGCGAGCCGGGUAUUUCCAAAAAGGCGAGUUGAAGUCAGCUGGAAUGCUGUACCAUAGAGAGUGAUAGUCUCGUAAGCGAAACUGGAUUGGAAAAUUCCUGGAAUUCGAGAGUACCGCGCGUUGGAUAUCGCGUGGGAAGAUCCAAGGCAUUAACUUGGAACACUAAAGAUGACUUGAGUCCGAUAGCGAACUAGUACCGAGAGGGAAAGUUGAAAAGUACCCUUAACAGGGGGUUAAAAGCACUUGAAACUAAACGGUGAUAGUAAGGCAAGGCAUGAAAGAAACGAAGCUGCACGAAAGAAGUAAUCGCAAGGUUAUUGUAUGAGUGUGGUGGAUCAAUGUUUUGUCGUUCGUCUUGAAUCACGAGCUAGGGAGUUUUGGUUAGUGGCGAAACAAAUUCCUUCACGGAAUGAGUUGUAGCGAAAGCGAGUGUGCGCAGUGUUGAACGAGGCACAGAGUCUUAAACGGCUUUUCAGUCACUAGUCAAAGACCCGAAACCGGAGUGAACUAUUCCUGAGCAGGUUGAAGUCUCCCUUCCGGGGGACCGAAGACCGAAACCGGUUCUAGUCUAUCUGUUCGGGUGACUUGGGAAUAGAAGUAAAAGGCCAUUCUAACCCGGUUAUAGCGGGCUCCUCUUGAAAUAGCCCUCAGGCUAGCCUCAAUGGAGCAGGUCAAUGGGGUAGAGAUACUGAUUAGGGGGUACUGGACCGAGAGGUCUAGCUUUCUUGUCAAACUCCAAAUCUAUUGACUGCGGAGAAGUUGGGAGUAGGGGUAUGUGGGGUAAGCCCCAUAUCCUAGAAGGGAAAAACCUAGACUUGGUUUAAGGCCCAUAAAUGCUGGUUAAGUGUGAAUACGAAAAGCGUCCUCUUCCACAGACAGUUGGGAGGUAGGCUUAGAAGCAGCCAUCCUUCAAAGAAUGCGUAACAGCUCACCAAUCGAGGGAAAGGGCCUUGAAAAUAAACUGGGCUAAAACCAGCUGCCGAGAACCAAGACAAGUUUGUGAAUGCAAACUUUUGUAGUAAGGAGGUGCUCUGAUAGAGCCAAAGCAAGGUGGAAACAUCUUGUGAAUCUGUCAGAGAUAUGGAUCCUAGCGCUAGUAGCAACUAAGAAGGGUGAGAAUCCCUUCCGCCGAAAGGGCACGGGUUCCUUAGCGCUAAUCAUUAGCUAAGGGUUAGUCGAUCCUAAGCUGCGUCGUAACGCGUAAGCAGCAAAAGGGAAACAGGUUCAUACUCCUGUACUAUGCAAAUACGUUUUCGGUAACGAUUGCUCUCAAUGCGACGUCUUGGGCUAGUUCAAGCGCACUCGUCUGUGCGUUUAAGAAUCAUAAAUCCAUGGAGAAACGUAAGGUUGAGAAAUGGAUUAAGGUUUCGAAUAGCAGAAAUGUUUGGACAAGGCCUGGGACUCUUAAAAAGCAUUGGGAGAAGGAUUUUGCAUAUUCGUACCUAGAACCGAGAAAGGUGCCCCUGGCUGAGAAGGCCAAGGCGUGUUGGGGAAAAAAUUGGUUAUGGGAAUUCGGCAAAAUAGCCCUGUAUCUUCGGUAUAAGGGGUGCCUGCACUUGAAUAAAGCGCAGGUUGCAAUAACAAGUGGAGUCCGACUGUUUAGCAAAAACGUAGGUGACUGCUAGUCAGCAAUGAUGAGAAUAGUCACCGACUUCUGCUCACUGCCAGUACGUGAAAACCCGGUUCAAAGGGUCUAAGCGCUGGUGAAGAGCGGGCCUAACUCUGAGGCUCUCACGGUAGCGUAAUACCUUGCCGGUUUAUUGCCGGCUUGCACCAAGGAAGGAACGAGAUUCCAGCUGUCCUUAACCAAUGCCCAGCGAAAUCACUGUGUGGUGAAUAUGCCACAGACUCCCAACGGGAAGAGAAGACCCCACGGAGAUUUACCGCAGCCUGAUGUUGUUGUAAGUUUUUCAUUGCAUAGAGUAACUGGGAGCCGCUUGUAGGCAAACUCGCGGGUUUGCUGUAGGCAAAAGUGUAACACCAGUCAAUGAGAGCCUUACGGCUUAUCCCAAAAGGAGACACCAUUUGGUGGGCGGUUGGACUGGGGCGGUACACCCCUGAAAAGAUAUCAGGGGUGUCCAAAGGUCUGCUCAGGCGAGUCAGAAAUUCGCCGUAGAGUACAAGAGCAAAAGCAGGCUUGACAGUGUUCCUCACAGCACGGAACGCUGAUUGGAAACAAGGGUCUAGCGAACGCUAGUAGGUCCUUAAUGGGCCUCUAGUCUGACAGUGAAUUUACCCUGGGGGUAACUGAGUGGUCGUGGCUGAGAGUCCACAUCGACGCCACGGAUUGCGACCUCGCCGUCGGCUCAAGGCAUCCUGGCUGUGCAUAAGCAGCCAAGGGUGGAGGUGUUAACUCAUUAAAGCCUUUCGUUAGUUGGGUUAAGUACGGUGCGAGCCAGUAUGGAUACUAUCUGUUGGGGGUGCUGAUUGCUUGAGGGGAGGAUCCAUCCAGUACGAGAGGAACAGUGGGUCGUGGUCACUGGUCUACCAGUUGUCUGACAAGGCAAGCGCUGGGUUAGCCACACCGCAGCUGAUAAGAGCUGAAGGCAUCUAAGCUCGAAGCAGUCCCUGAAAAAAAGCAAUCAUCUGUCAAAGCAACUUUCUUGCGAGAAGGUUGCCGUAGCAGCAAGGGUUCCGAUAAAAUAUCGGCUUGAUAGAAUAGGGGUGUAAGCACAAAGCUUCGGCAAUGUGUUCAGCCCACUAUUACUAAAAACCCGAGAGUAUUUAC